This is a long non-coding RNA of Acipenser ruthenus (sterlet), 615 nucleotides long. RefSeq lists it as uncharacterized. The record is from RefSeq and is a predicted model, not a curated record. Lineage: Eukaryota; Metazoa; Chordata; Actinopteri; Acipenseriformes; Acipenseridae. The transcript has 3 exons.
GUAAAAAAAGACCUGCUUCUCCUGGUGUUGUAUCCUUGCUGGACGGAGAUGGUGAAGAUGCUGGAGGCGGCCAAGCCAGCACAGUAUGGGGUAGAUUUGACAAGGGACAAGAAAAGAAGGCCACCUCCCCUCCAGACAUUCCGAUCAGAGAAAAGAGACAAUUCGAAGCCAACCCAAAGAGACGUCCAAGACCUUGUCUGGGCUGCCUAUCUGUAAUAUCAGCUAAAAAGGAGGCUCCUGUAACACAUACAGCUGAUCCUGUCCUAAUGUGAAGGUGGAUCCAACAAGUGACGUCGUGAUCCUGCCAGUCAAAGUGCAGAAAAAUCACAGUCAAAUGCAUGUUGGCCUGAUAACCAAAUAUUGUUCUUUUUUUUUUUUUUUUUUAAAUCCUGCGCUAGUAAAUCAUGUAUCUGUGUCAGGAUAGCAUAUACAGCAUGCUCAUGCCUAAGUAAACAAACAUUUUAAGAACAUAAGAAAGUUUACAAACGAGAGGAGGCCAUUCGGCCCAUCUUGCUCUUUUGGUUGUUAGUAGCUUAUUGAUCCCAGAAUCUCAUCAAGCAGCUUCUUGAAGGAUCCCAGGGUGUCGGCUUCAACAACAUUACUGGGGAGCGGGUU